CAAGGAAAAUGCGAUCCCAGCACGGCCUGGCGUGUUCCUGGCGGCAGAAAGGAUUCUUAAGGAGAAAACGGCGACCGGUUCUUUUCCAUGUCCCCCGGAACAAAGCAAGGAGAAAUGAACUUCAGCUGCAGCAGAAUUCCUUCAAUUACACGUAUGUUUUCAGCAGCCGGGCCAAUCCUCCUCCUCACAGGGGUGAGGUCAGCAAACCCAGGAAGCUCUCAGAGCCAAGAAAGCCUCAGAUCCAGGAGGAAGUAGUUAUGGAUGCCCAUAGCUGAAGUGCUCUGUGUCCACUGGAAGUAAAAGGAGCAGGUUCCUGCCGAAGAAUGUACAGACGACGUGAAAUCAUGUGUGGCUACACUGAAGCUAAAGGCUGCCAGCCAACCAUAGCCAGUUGGGGAUAUAAACCUCUAAAAACCAAAACUGGGGAAAAAUGGCUCCCCAUUUUCUGAGGUACUCUUGGAGCACAAGCUGAAUGAAAACCAAUCAUCAUUGCCCUGCCUAGCAUGAAGCAGAAUGAAAAGAAGGCAGAUAAUAUUUCCUCCCCUGAACCACUCAUCCAUAUCUGCUCUAUUCAGAUAUUUGUGCCUAGGCAACUGCACCCACCCCUCUCAGCAUUUACCCACAGAUCCUCAAAACCAAGCCCUAGCACAAUCGACUCCAGUGAAAAUUAAAAAAGCUAUCCCAAACAUCUCCAAGCUUCUUUCCUCUGCAACUUCCCUCCUUCUUCUUCAUCACCAGUUAUACCACCAAAGUAUCUACAACUGCUCAGAUGCAGGCAAACUACCCUGAAAGUGCUCACAUGUAUUUCUUCCUUCCCUUGAGGGUGAUAUUCUACAGUAAUUCCAUUAUGUUUACAAAUAGAAAAGUUAUUUCAAUACAUCUGUAUAUUAUAUAUAUGUAUAUAUAUACACACAUAGCUUUUAUAUCACUGACACAGUGUUACAUGCAAUAAAGAGAGGAAUUAUUUAUAUCAGUACAA
Long non-coding RNA from Homo sapiens (human), 979 nucleotides. Ensembl annotates it as long intergenic non-protein coding RNA 332. Lineage: Eukaryota; Metazoa; Chordata; Mammalia; Primates; Hominidae. The record is from Ensembl.